CAGUGGCAGGAUCUCGGCUCACUGCAAGCUCCGCCUCCCAGGUUCACGCCAUUCUACUGGCUCUGUCUCCCAAGUAGCUGGGACUACAGGUGCCCGCCACCACGCCCAGCUAAUUUUUUUGUAUUUUUAGUAGAGACAGUGUUUCACCAUGUUAGCCAGGAUGGUCUGGAUCUCCUGACCUCGUGAUCCGCCCACCUCGGCCUCCCAAAGUGCUGGGAUUACUGGCGUGAGCCACCGUGCCCGGCCGAAAAUCUUCUUAGACCCAAUAGAGAAUUGAGGUUCAGGGCAAACUGCUGCUCCCAAAACUGGAGAGAGAUGUGACUAUAGAAAACCACAGCUACGGGUAUCACAAACCCCAGCAAGAGAAACACACAGCUGGAGCCAGUAUCCAUAGGAACACUGUAAUGUAAAUUGCUGGAGGUUCAACGUGGACUAGCUUGAGAAUUAAAAGCUCAGGGGAUGGGCAGUCUGGCUGCUGUUGCUUUGCCUAUAAAAUAAGAGGGUAUAUUACAUGAAUUAUAUGAAAUGGUACAUGGUAUAUCAUGAACAACCAGGAGAAUUAUAACAUUAAAUUUAUUCCGUCUGCAUGUUUGUACCCUUUAACCCACUUCUCUUCAUUCUCCCCAACACUCACCUUUCCCAGUCUCUUAUCUUUUUACUCUCUACUCUCAUGUGAUCAAAUUUUUUUAGCUCUCACAUAUGUGAGAACAUGUGAUAUCGCCCCAAAUUUGUC
Molecule: non-coding RNA, 733 nt
Filed under: Pan troglodytes (chimpanzee)
Lineage: Eukaryota; Metazoa; Chordata; Mammalia; Primates; Hominidae
Source: RNAcentral